GACGAACGCUGGCGGCGUGCUUAACACAUGCAAGUCGAACGGUAAGGCCCUUCGGGGUACACGAGUGGCGAACGGGUGAGUAACACGUGGGUGAUCUGCCCUGCACUUCGGGAUAAGCCUGGGAAACUGGGUCUAAUACCGGAUAGGACCACUGCCUGCAUGGGUGGUGGUGGAAAGCUUUUGCGGUGUGGGAUGGGCCCGCGGCCUAUCAGCUUGUUGGUGGGGUGAUGGCCUACCAAGGCGACGACGGGUAGCCGGCCUGAGAGGGUGACCGGCCACACUGGGACGGAGAUACGGCCCAGACUACUACGGGAGGCAGGAGUGGGGAAUAUUGCUCAAUGGGCGCAAGCCUGAUGCAGCGACGCCACGUGAGGGAUGACGGCCUUCGGGUUGUAAACCUCUUUCAGCACCGACGAAGCGCAAGUGACGGUAGGUGCAGAAGAAGGACCGGCCAACUACGUGCCAGCCGCCGCCGUAA
Molecule: ribosomal RNA, 478 nt
Filed under: uncultured bacterium
Lineage: Bacteria
Description: partial 16S ribosomal RNA
Rfam family: Bacterial small subunit ribosomal RNA
Source: RNAcentral